AGUAGGGAAUCUUCCACAAUGGACGAAAGUCUGAUGGAGCAACGCCGCGUGAGUYAAGAAGGGUUUCGGCUCGUAAAACUCUGUUGUUAAAGAAGAACAUAUCUGAGAGUAACUGUUCAGGUAUUGACGGUAUUUAACCAGAAAGCCACGGCUAACUACGUGCCAGCAGCCGCGGUAAUACGUAGGUGGCAAGCGUUGUCCGGAUUUAUUGGGCGUAAAGCGAGCGCAGGCGGUUUUUUAAGUCUGAUGUGAAAGCCUUCGGCUCAACCGAAGAAGUGCAUCGGAAACUGGGAAACUUGAGUGCAGAAGAGGACAGUGGAACUCCAUGUGUAGCGGUGAAAUGCGUAGAUAUAUGGAAGAACACCAGUGGCGAAGGCGGCUGUCUGGUCUGUAACUGACGCUGAGGCUCGAAAGUAUGGGUAGCAAACAGGAUUAGAUACCCUGGUAGUCCAUACCGUAAACGAUGAAUGCUAAGUGUUGGGGGGUUUCCGCCCUUCAGUGCUGCGGCUAACGCAUUAAGCAUUCCGCCUGGGGGGGUACGGCCGCAGGGUGGAAAACUCAAAG
RNAcentral lists this ribosomal RNA (564 nucleotides) under Lactiplantibacillus plantarum. Its description in RNAcentral is "bacterial SSU rRNA". The record is from RNAcentral. Lineage: Bacteria; Bacillati; Bacillota; Bacilli; Lactobacillales; Lactobacillaceae.